This 646-nucleotide long non-coding RNA is filed under the name Heterocephalus glaber (naked mole-rat). Its description in RNAcentral is "lncRNA (ENSHGLG00000047134.1)". Lineage: Eukaryota; Metazoa; Chordata; Mammalia; Rodentia; Bathyergidae. The record is from RNAcentral.
AUCUAGAGUGCUUUCCUUCUCUGACUUUUCAGCGCUUUGUACCUGGGCUCCUUUGACACGCGUUGAUUCCUGCUUUCUGGAUCUCAUAGACUGCUGUUUCUGCCUGCACGGGCCAGAUGGCCCAGCACCUUCCCUUCCAGUCCGCUUAGCGCAGUCAUAGGCUUCUGUCCGGCUUGGAUUUGUCUUUUCUGCUCUGCAUUCAAGGCCCGUUCACCUCCGCAGUCAAGCCUCGUUCACCUCCGCAGUUCUGAGACCUGGGGAAGGCAGAGCCCCAUCUCCCACUUAGGGAACUGGGUGGAUUGGAUACUCCUUUUCCCCACUCCUGGUUGGUGGCACCUGGCCGGGUGCCUGAGGCCUGACUGCACGAAUGGCCUGCAUGGGACUUUGACUCUAGAGCUGGCAACGGAGAGGGCGGCUCAGGUUUCAUUGGAAUCGUUGAUCAUGAUGUGGAGAAGAGCUUGGACUGGCUGUGUACCCGCUUCAGUAACUGUGCUGCCCCUUAUCUGGAAUGGUGUCAAAUAAACUUCACGAAGAUUUAAAGCCUCAGAGAUAAGUGUGCAAUUGAAAAUGUAUUCCUAUUAUGCAUUUAAAGCAAUGUGAUACUACCUGGUCUCUAAACUGAAUUUUAAACAGCUGGAGCUAUUGG